UUCGUAGCUGGACUGUUAAGUCUCUUGGGAAAUCCGCCGGCUCAACCGGCGGGCGUCUAAGGGAUACUGGCAGUCUAGGGACCGGGAGAGGUAAGAGGUACUCCGGGGGUAGGAGUGAAAUACUGUAAUCCCCGGGGGACCACCUGUGGCGAAGGCGUCUUACCAGAACGGCUCCGACAGUGAGGAACGAAAGCUGGGGGAGCGAACAGGAUUAGAUACCCUGGUAGUCC
RNAcentral lists this ribosomal RNA (230 nucleotides) under uncultured bacterium. RNAcentral's name for it is "partial 16S ribosomal RNA". It matches the Rfam family "Archaeal small subunit ribosomal RNA", at positions 518 to 747 of the family's 1478-position model. The record is from RNAcentral.